UGAGGAAUAUUGGUCAAUGGACGCAAGUCUGAACCAGCCAAGUAGCGUGCAGGAUGACGGCCCUAUGGGUUGUAAACUGCUUUUAUAUGGGGAUAAAGUGGGGAACGUGUUCCCUUUUGCAGGUACCAUAUGAAUAAGGACCGGCUAAUUCCGUGCCAGCAGCCGCGGUAAUACGGAAGGUUCGGGCGUUAUCCGGAUUUAUUGGGUUUAAAGGGAGCGUAGGCCGUUUGGUAAGCGUGUUGUGAAAUGUAGGAGCUCAACUUCUAGAUUGCAGCGCGAACUGUCAGACUGGAGUGCGCACAACGUAGGCGGAAUUCAUGGUGUAGCGGUGAAAUGCUUAGAUAUCAUGAAGAACUCCGAUGGCGAAGGCAGCUUACGGGAGCGCAACUGACGCUGAGGCUCGAAGGUGCGGGUAUCGAACAGG
RNAcentral lists this ribosomal RNA (424 nucleotides) under Verrucomicrobiota bacterium. RNAcentral describes it as "Verrucomicrobia bacterium partial 16S ribosomal RNA". It matches the Rfam family "Bacterial small subunit ribosomal RNA", at positions 355 to 776 of the family's 1533-position model. Lineage: Bacteria; Pseudomonadati; Verrucomicrobiota. The record is from RNAcentral.